Molecule: long non-coding RNA, 1170 nt
Organism: Lemur catta (Ring-tailed lemur)
Lineage: Eukaryota; Metazoa; Chordata; Mammalia; Primates; Lemuridae
Exons: 5
Source: RefSeq, a predicted model, not a curated record
GAGCCGGGACAGCGCCAGCUCCGCCUCCUCCGGCCCGGCGGGCGGUGGCGGGGACGACGGCGCGCGGCGAGGGACAUGCGCUUCCGGAACGCGAACGCUCUCCGGGCCCGACUGGCGCUCCUGCAGUCGGGCUCCCCGCCGCGCCGAGCCGGAGUCUCGCCCACCUGCCCCCCGGGCACAGCGGCUGGGGGAGAAGCCAUGUGGUCUCCCGCAGCAGUUAAGAGCUGCUGGCAAAUUUCUGGGGUUUGAAUCCAGAUUCCAUCAUGCCUAAUAGCUAUGUGAUCCUAAGACGCCUUUCUCCUUUUCGUAACAAGUACAACUCUGGUGGAGCGGAAAGGCCAGUGCCUUAAUACCAGUGCCACACCUCUGGAAGUUCUUUGCCUUAAGGACGUUUCAAGCCUGGAUGUGUAUGGGGAGGAAGGCAUACGUGUUCAUCCAUGUACCAAACCCCCAGACCCCUAGGGCUGGGCCGCACGGAAGGCCCAAGGAGCUGGCGGAUAAAGCCACAGCUUCAGUGUUGGCAGAGUUCACUGCCAGGGAUGGCUGCUGACUGUAGGGCACUAAUGCUGGGCAACCAGGACCAAGGAAGAGAAGAUCGUGGAAAGAGCAUGGACAGGGCACUCUUUUGGCAUCACAGGUGAACCUAAGUGACGAAGCCCCUUUCUGCCCUCUGCCCUUGGCCAAAAGAACAACCCCCAGUUCCUGUUUCUUACUGAUGAGGUUGAGGGGUGUUAAGGGGCGAGACAGGACAUCCCGCAAACUCUCCAGCCAUUCCCGCUGCUCCUUCUCGCUGGGACAGGUGAGGACGAAUCUCCGCUCUGGGGUGACAAUAGUGAUGCCGGCUUUCCAGCGAUUCCCUCGGAUGCCCUUGGGGAGGUCUUCAUAUAUUUCGUAUCCCUGCUCAUUGCUCCCGAGAAAAACCUGGCCCUGCUCAAAAGCAUCCUGAAAAUAGAGGGUACGUGGUCAUCAGAGGCCACCCCGGGGUGGGGAGCAGGGGGGCCCCUGCAGCCCUGACAGCCCUCAAGUUUUAUUUUGGGAAAGGGGUGUGAGUGUCCUUGCCAGGAUUUCUGCUAGGUGGGACCCAGAAUUUGGAAGAUUAAAAAACCCUGGAAUAAAUCACACACAUCAUCUGUUAAAAAGACACUUAACAUUUACAGAGAGCUUAUUAAA